RNAcentral lists this ribosomal RNA (464 nucleotides) under uncultured bacterium. RNAcentral's name for it is "partial 16S ribosomal RNA". It matches the Rfam family "Bacterial small subunit ribosomal RNA", at positions 338 to 795 of the family's 1533-position model. The record is from RNAcentral.
CCUACGGGCGGCAGCAGUGAGGAAUAUUGGUCAAUGGGCGAAAGCCUGACGCAGCGACGCCGCGUGAGGGAUGAAGGUCUUCGGAUCGUAAACCUCUGUCAGCAGGGAAGAACGGUCACUGUGCUAAUCAGCAGUGAAUUGACGGUACCUGCAAAGGAAGCACCGGCUAACUCCGUGCCAGCAGCCGCGGUAAACGGAGGGGGCGGGCGUUAAUCGGAAUUAAUGGGCGUAAAGCCCUAGGAGGCUGGAUGUCAAGGCAAGGGGGAAAUCCCCGCGCUCAACGUGGGGACUGCCUUUGAAACUGGCAAACUGGAGUGUGUGAGAGGAUAGUGGAAUUCCAGGUGUAGGGGUGAAAUCCGUAGAUAUCUGGAGGAACAUCAGUGGCGAAGGCGACUAUCUGGCACAUAACUGACGCUGAGGAGCGAAAGCGUGGGUAGCAAACAGGAUUAGAUACCCGGGUAGUC